RNAcentral lists this ribosomal RNA (253 nucleotides) under uncultured bacterium. Its description in RNAcentral is "partial 16S ribosomal RNA". It matches the Rfam family "Bacterial small subunit ribosomal RNA", at positions 524 to 776 of the family's 1533-position model. The record is from RNAcentral.
UACGUAGGGGGCAAGCGUUAUCCGGAUUCACUGGGUGUAAAGGGAGCGUAGACGGCGACGCAAGUCUGGAGUGAAAGCCCGGGGCCCAACCCCGGGACUGCUCUGGAAACUGCGGGGCUGGAGUGCAGGAGGGGUAAGCGGAAUUCCUAGUGUAGCGGUGAAAUGCGUAGAUAUUAGGAGGAACACCGGUGGCGAAGGCGGCUUACUGGACUGUAACUGACGUUGAGGCUCGAAGGCGUGGGGAGCAAACAGG